GUUAGUAUUUAGUAGAAUAAAUUUAUGUGAAAAGGUAAAUUUACCUUUAGUAUCAGGGAAAUUUAAAAAAUAAAUUUAUUUUUUAUUUCGAAUUUAUUUAGGCUAAGUAUUAAUAAGUGUAUUAGUAUAAUUUAUAGUUUAAAAUAACUUAGAGGUGAAAUUUUUCGAUUAUAAAUUUAUCUAAUUAUCUAUAAAAUAGUUAAUGCUAUAUGUUGUAGAUUUAUUUAAUAAAAAGUUAAGCUUUUUAUUAAAAGUAAAGUUUAAUAGUUAUAAAAAUAAUUAGGCUUUAGAUUAGCCAUAUUAAUAAAUUUUUAUAAAUAAUAUAAUAUAAAAAUAGUGUAUUUACUAGAUUAGGGUAUGAAAAAUAGUAACAAAUUUUUAUUAAUAAUAGGUUUAUGAGUAAUAUUAUAUAAGUAUUUUAUAGGAAUUCAGAAAUUUUUUGAAAGUUUAACAAAAACAUUUUUGUUUUUUUAAGGAUAAGACCUGCCCAGUGAAUAAUUAAACGGCUGCGGUGUUUUAAUCGUACAAAGGUAGCAUAAUCAUUUGUCUUUUAAUUGAGGAUAGGUAUGAAUGGUCAAACAAAUAAUAGUGUCUUUAUUUUAAAUAAUUAAUUUAUAUUUCAAGUAAGAAUACUUGAAAGAAGUAGUGGGACGAUAAGACCCUAAAAGCUUUAUACAAAUUUAUUUAGUUUAUACAAAAAUAUAGAAAUAUUUGACUGGGGUAGUUUUUUUAAAUAUUUUAAGAGUAGAUAAUAUUUGAUUAAAGAGAAGAGGUCCUUCAUAUGAGGAUAAUUAGAGUGAGUUACUUUAGGGGUAACAGCAUAAUUAUUUUGGAGAGAUCUUAUUAAUAGAAUAGAUUGUGACCUCGAUGUUGAAUUAUAAGUUCUUUAUAAGGCAGUACUUAUAAUAGAAGGUUUGUUCAACCUUUAAAAUUUUACGUGAUUUGAGUUCAAAUCGGUUUAAGCCAGAUUGGUUUCUAUCUACUAUAGAAAGAGUAAUAUUUUAGUACGAAAGGGCCAAAUAAUAUUU
This 1028-nucleotide ribosomal RNA is filed under the name Cyphocaris challengeri. RNAcentral's name for it is "16S ribosomal RNA". The stretch from base 644 to 985 matches the Rfam family "Archaeal large subunit ribosomal RNA", at positions 2150 to 2716 of the family's 2987-position model. Lineage: Eukaryota; Metazoa; Arthropoda; Malacostraca; Amphipoda; Cyphocarididae. The record is from RNAcentral.